This 1747-nucleotide ribosomal RNA is filed under the name Escherichia coli. Its description in RNAcentral is "partial 23S ribosomal RNA". It matches the Rfam family "Bacterial large subunit ribosomal RNA", at positions 1200 to 2925 of the family's 2925-position model. Lineage: Bacteria; Pseudomonadati; Pseudomonadota; Gammaproteobacteria; Enterobacterales; Enterobacteriaceae. RNAcentral also lists the same sequence under 1 other name. The record is from RNAcentral.
CUGCGGCAGCGACGCUUAUGCGUUGUUGGGUAGGGGAGCGUUCUGUAAGCCUGUGAAGGUGUGCUGUGAGGUAUGCUGGAGGUAUCAGAAGUGCGAAUGCUGACAUAAGUAACGAUAAAGCGGGUGAAAAGCCCGCUCGCCGGAAGACCAAGGGUUCCUGUCCAACGUUAAUCGGGGCAGGGUGAGUCGACCCCUAAGGCGAGGCCGAAAGGCGUAGUCGAUGGGAAACAGGUUAAUAUUCCUGUACUUGGUGUUACUGCGAAGGGGGGACGGAGAAGGCUAUGUUGGCCGGGCGACGGUUGUCCCGGUUUAAGCGUGUAGGCUGGUUUUCCAGGCAAAUCCGGAAAAUCAAGGCCGAGGCGUGAUGACGAGGCACUACGGUGCUGAAGCAACAAAUGCCCUGCUUCCAGGAAAAGCCUCUAAGCAUCAGGUAACAUCAAAUCGUACCCCAAACCGACACAGGUGGUCAGGUAGAGAAUACCAAGGCGCUUGAGAGAACUCGGGUGAAGGAACUAGGCAAAAUGGUGCCGUAACUUCGGGAGAAGGCACGCUGAUACGUAGGUGAAGCGACUUGCUCGUGGAGCUGAAAUCAGUCGAAGAUACCAGCUGGCUGCAACUGUUUAUUAAAAACACAGCACUGUGCAAACACGAAAGUGGACGUAUACGGUGUGACGCCUGCCCGGUGCCGGAAGGUUAAUUGAUGGGGUUAGCGCAAGCGAAGCUCUUGAUCGAAGCCCCGGUAAACGGCGGCCGUAACUAUAACGGUCCUAAGGUAGCGAAAUUCCUUGUCGGGUAAGUUCCGACCUGCACGAAUGGCGUAAUGAUGGCCAGGCUGUCUCCACCCGAGACUCAGUGAAAUUGAACUCGCUGUGAAGAUGCAGUGUACCCGCGGCAAGACGGAAAGACCCCGUGAACCUUUACUAUAGCUUGACACUGAACAUUGAGCCUUGAUGUGUAGGAUAGGUGGGAGGCUUUGAAGUGUGGACGCCAGUCUGCAUGGAGCCGACCUUGAAAUACCACCCUUUAAUGUUUGAUGUUCUAACGUGGACCCGUGAUCCGGGUUGCGGACAGUGUCUGGUGGGUAGUUUGACUGGGGCGGUCUCCUCCUAAAGAGUAACGGAGGAGCACGAAGGUUGGCUAAUCCUGGUCGGACAUCAGGAGGUUAGUGCAAUGGCAUAAGCCAGCUUGACUGCGAGCGUGACGGCGCGAGCAGGUGCGAAAGCAGGUCAUAGUGAUCCGGUGGUUCUGAAUGGAAGGGCCAUCGCUCAACGGAUAAAAGGUACUCCGGGGAUAACAGGCUGAUACCGCCCAAGAGUUCAUAUCGACGGCGGUGUUUGGCACCUCGAUGUCGGCUCAUCACAUCCUGGGGCUGAAGUAGGUCCCAAGGGUAUGGCUGUUCGCCAUUUAAAGUGGUACGCGAGCUGGGUUUAGAACGUCGUGAGACAGUUCGGUCCCUAUCUGCCGUGGGCGCUGGAGAACUGAGGGGGGCUGCUCCUAGUACGAGAGGACCGGAGUGGACGCAUCACUGGUGUUCGGGUUGUCAUGCCAAUGGCACUGCCCGGUAGCUAAAUGCGGAAGAGAUAAGUGCUGAAAGCAUCUAAGCACGAAACUUGCCCCGAGAUGAGUUCUCCCUGACCCUUUAAGGGUCCUGAAGGAACGUUGAAGACGACGACGUUGAUAGGCCGGGUGUGUAAGCGCAGCGAUGCGUUGAGCUAACCGGUACUAAUGAACCGUGAGGCUUAACCUU